Molecule: long non-coding RNA, 644 nt
Organism: Emys orbicularis (European pond turtle)
Lineage: Eukaryota; Metazoa; Chordata; Testudines; Emydidae
Exons: 4
Source: RefSeq, a predicted model, not a curated record
CUGCCGGUGCAUGCUGGGAGCGGCGGCCGCCAUCCCUCUGUGGGGAUAGAGUCCCGCCCGCUUCCUAUGCCGGGGUACUGUCUAUUGGAAGUGAGGCCGCCAUUGCUCUGUGGAGAGAACUUCGCCCCGAUGACAAAAGAAACAGCCUCUGGACUUGGGGAGAUCCUGGCCUGAGAAUUUGAUCAGCCGUGAUACUGGGAACAUGUGAGAGUACAAGUCUGUUAUUUUGAUGAGCUGCCCAGGAGAGUGAAUUUCAGAGGCACAAGUCCACUGAUGAGAAUGUCCAGCCAGCAGAUGUGGUGGCAUGUGCAAGGAUAAGUUCUGAGAGCAAGCUUUUUACAUUUGAUCUGCUGAGAUGUGGGGCAGGAUAAGACGUGGCCUCUGACAAAAAACCAGGUCGCAGCUGAUUUAAGAUGAAAUGACAUUUUUUACCUGAAUCCUAAGGUAACCUUCAUGUUCCCUGAAGAUUCGAUAAGUGUAGAUGAGCCGUUCAAAGCUGUGAAGAGAUACCCUUUCAUAAGUUGUUUUUUAUCAACAUUCAAGGAACAACAAUGGCUAGACACCACUACAUCUAAAACUUUUGGUGGAAGUAUUUUUUUUUUUAAAUGUAAACCAAGCUAAAACAAUAAAUGACUAAAACCCCA